RNAcentral lists this ribosomal RNA (656 nucleotides) under uncultured Lachnospiraceae bacterium. RNAcentral describes it as "bacterial SSU rRNA". It matches the Rfam family "Bacterial small subunit ribosomal RNA", at positions 60 to 716 of the family's 1533-position model. Lineage: Bacteria; Bacillati; Bacillota; Clostridia; Lachnospirales; Lachnospiraceae. The record is from RNAcentral.
AGUCGAACGAAGCGCUUAAAUGGAUUUCUUUGGAUUGAAGUUUUUGCGACUGAGUGGCGGACGGGUGAGUAACGCGUGGGUAACCUGCCUCAUACAGGGGGAUAACAGUUAGAAAUGACUGCUAAUACCGCAUAAGCGCACAGUGCUGCAUGGCGCAGUGUGAAAAACUCCGGUGGUAUGAGAUGGACCCGCGUCUGAUUAGCUAGUUGGUGGGGUAACGGCCUACCAAGGCGACGAUCAGUAGCCGGCCUGAGAGGGUGAACGGCCACAUUGGGACUGAGACACGGCCCAAACUCCUACGGGAGGCAGCAGUGGGGAAUAUUGCACAAUGGGGGAAACCCUGAUGCAGCGACGCCGCGUGAGCGAAGAAGUAUUUCGGUAUGUAAAGCUCUAUCAGCAGGGAAGAAAAUGACGGUACCUGACUAAGAAGCACCGGCUAAAUACGUGCCAGCAGCCGCGGUAAUACGUAUGGUGCAAGCGUUAUCCGGAUUUACUGGGUGUAAAGGGAGCGUAGACGGUUGUGUAAGUCUGAUGUGAAAGCCCGGGGCUCAACCCCGGGACUGCAUUGGAAACUAUGUAACUAGAGUGUCGGAGAGGUAAGCGGAAUUCCUAGUGUAGCGGUGAAAUGCGUAGAUAUUAGGAGGAACACCAGUGGC